Molecule: ribosomal RNA, 462 nt
Filed under: uncultured bacterium
Lineage: Bacteria
Description: partial 16S ribosomal RNA
Rfam family: Bacterial small subunit ribosomal RNA
Source: RNAcentral
AGUGAACGCUGGCGGCGUGCCUAAUACAUGCAAGUCGAACGAACGAAUAAGAGCCUGCUCUUAUAAGUUAGUGGCGCACGGGUGAGUAAUAUAUAGCUAAUCUGCCUCUUAGUAGAGGAUAACAGUCGGAAACGAUUGCUAAUACUCUAUACUUCUGCUUUACAUAAGUAAAGUAGAGAAAGUUUUUCGCUAAGAGAUGAGGCUAUACUGUAUCAGCUAGUUGGUAAGGUAACGGCUUACCAAGGCUAUGACGCAUAACUGGUCUGAGAGGAUGAUCAGUCACAUUGGAACUGAGACACGGUCCAAACUCCUACGGGAGGCAGCAGAAGGGAAUAGUGCGCCAUGGGGGAAACCCUGACGCAGCAACGCCGCGUGGAGGAUGACACUUUUCGGAGCGUAAACUCCUUUUAUCGGGAAAGAAUAAUGACGGUACCCGAUGAAUAAGCACCGGCUAACUCCGUG